Molecule: ribosomal RNA, 203 nt
Filed under: uncultured Lactobacillus sp.
Lineage: Bacteria; Bacillati; Bacillota; Bacilli; Lactobacillales; Lactobacillaceae
Description: partial 16S ribosomal RNA
Rfam family: Bacterial small subunit ribosomal RNA
Source: RNAcentral
GAUGCUAAUACCGGAUAACAACAGAUGAUGCCUAUCAACUGUUUAAAAGAUGGUUCUGCUAUCACUCUUGGAUGGACCUGCGGUGCAUUAGCUAGUUGGUAGGGUAACGGCCUACCAAGGCGAUGAUGCAUAGCCGAGUUGAGAGACUGAUCGGCCACAUUGGGACUGAGACACGGCCCAAACUCCUACGGGAGGCAGCAGCU